RNAcentral lists this transfer RNA (78 nucleotides) under Archaeoglobales archaeon. RNAcentral's name for it is "tRNA-Glu". It matches the Rfam family "tRNA". Rfam says of the family: Transfer RNA (tRNA) molecules are approximately 80 nucleotides in length. Lineage: Archaea; Methanobacteriati; Methanobacteriota; Archaeoglobi; Archaeoglobales. The record is from RNAcentral.
GCUCCGGUGGUGUAGCCCGGCCAAUCAUUCCGGCCUUUCGAGCCGGCGACCCGGGUUCAAAUCCCGGCCGGAGCACCA